CAAUAGCGUAUAUUAAAGCUGUUGCGGUUAAAAAGCUCGUAGUUGGAUUUCUGUCAAGGACAACUGGUCCGCCCUCCGGGUGAGCACAUAGUUUGGUCUUGGCAUCUUGCUGGAAACUGUUGCUGCACUUGGUUGUGUGGCGCAGCAUCCAGCACUUUCACUUUGAGGAAAUUGGAGUGUUUCAAGCAGGCACAUGCCUUUGGACACAGUAGCAUGGAAUAAUUAGAUUGGGCUUUUGCUCCGAUUUGUCGGUUUCUGGAGCUGAGGUGAGAAUUAAUGGGGAUUGUUGGGGGCAUCCGAAUUUAGCCGUCAGAGGUGAAAUUCUUGGAUCUGCUAAAGACGGACAACUGCGAAAGCGUUUGCCCAGGAUGUUUUCAUUGA
Molecule: ribosomal RNA, 381 nt
Filed under: uncultured eukaryote
Lineage: Eukaryota
Description: partial 18S ribosomal RNA
Rfam family: Eukaryotic small subunit ribosomal RNA
Source: RNAcentral